GGCGUUCAGUUUGACGCGCCCCCAGGAUACCCCACAGGUGAAAGCCCCAGCUCGAGGCCUUUACCCGCCCUCCUCCCCAAGUCCCAGUAAAAGGGACGGUUCAGGGGACAGUCUCGGUGAAACCGAGGUUUAAACUCUGAGCCUGCCUUCCUUUCCGGCUUUCGGAGGUACCCCCAAUCCAAUCCCACUCUGUCCUCUCCUUUGCCUCGACGCCAAAGUCCUUAGCACCAGCCCGGCAUGUACACGGUCCGGCGAGGGGCCGAGGGCUCUGCGCUCCAGGGCCUGGGCAGCAGAGAGGAGACCGGGGGUCAGGGGCCAAGGGGACGGAGCCUGAACUCCGGGUCCUCUCUGGGCAUUGCCCCGCGCGUGCCCUUGGCAGUGCAGCUUGGUCACGCUCGCUGAAUACUUUCCAGUCUCUGUCCGGAACGCUCCGGGGACUUUGGUUUGCACCUAGAGCUCCUUUUGUGUUCUCUGGAAGCGCGGCCCCUCUCCCCUUACCCCUCACUCCUUCCUUGAAGCACCUGGUUCCCGGAGCCGACAGCAGCCCCUCUGCCCUGCGCCCCUCUUCCGCAGCUCCCGGCGGAGAACCGACUGUCCGCAGGCCGUGGCAACCCCCUAUAUGUCCACCAGAUGGCGCUCCAGGCCAGGGGCCGAACGGCGGCCGGACAGCCCGCCCCGGGACUGGAGCCUACCUUGGACCCAGAGCCGCGGCAGGAUCCGCUCCGAGACUGGGCCGCAGGCCCAGGGGGUGGGCGCAGGCCGCUGAGAGAUCGAGGCGCUCCGCGCACCCGAAGGAAACUCCAGACAGAGGAGGCAGACACAAGGAUGGGACUGCCCGAGGCUCGGGAUGGGGUCCUGAGCACUUCCGGAACCGGCUGGCUCCAGCUGCCUCCAGCAUCCUUGUGGGAUGUGGUUCCUCCCCCCAUCCAAGCCGGAUUGCACCUUGGUACAAGCUGCGGCAGAGGCGUAGCUUGAUGGAGGGUAGAUUGGGCAGCCAGCACCGCGGUUUAUUCACUGACUGUGACUUCUUCAAAAGAGACAAGGGGAUACUCAUGGAGGACAUUCAGGGUGUUCAUGAUGAAUCCCCAUUUCACAGCCGAUGACAGUGAGGUUCAGGGAGGUGACGUGACGUGCCCCCAAGCCAUCCAGUAAAUAAAGAAGAGUUCUUUCACAAUCCCACGGGCCUGCUCCUUGGAAAUGUUAGCUGAUGAAGUGAUGAUGGGUGAGAGUCAGCCUCGCGGCUGGGAAAGGGCAAAGGGGCCAGGUGCCCUCUUUGGCCCACCAGGCCACGUGUCCAUGGGAGAAGCAGCCUGGCUCAGAGCCCAAGACCAGGACAUCAGGGGAAGGGUGGCCACCCUGCUUCAAGUCAGCCCAGCAGAGGCACCCCCCCCCCCCCACCCUGCCACCCAAGGGUCAGUGACUUCCUCUGGGUAAAAUCGUUGCAGAGGUGACGUCACCCAGCGAGUGCUAAGCUCAGGCACAUUUGCUCUCUUCAUUGUUGAUUUCUGUCCCCUAGAGAACAAGGUAUCCUCUGGCCCCAC
This is a long non-coding RNA of Bos taurus (domestic cattle), 1541 nucleotides long. NCBI's taxonomy places the organism in Eukaryota, Metazoa, Chordata, Mammalia, Artiodactyla, Bovidae. The record is from Ensembl.